This is a long non-coding RNA of Strigops habroptila (Kakapo), 1284 nucleotides long. RefSeq lists it as uncharacterized. Lineage: Eukaryota; Metazoa; Chordata; Aves; Psittaciformes; Psittacidae. The transcript has 3 exons. The record is from RefSeq and is a predicted model, not a curated record.
AAAAUUUCAUUUACAGUUUAGAUACAAUGCUCCAAUUUGUUUCUUUUCUUUUUCUACCCACUUUUGCUUCUUUCUUUUCUUUUCCUUCUUUCAUUUUCUCCUCCCCUCCCCCGCCUUUUUUUUUUUUUUUGAGAUCUCUUCCUGGAGAGAUAGAGCAGAUCAAACCAGAAGGCAGGAUAUGAGAUGCACAACAGGAACAGAUUGUUUCAUACAAACCUUAUUCCAAGAGACAAAGAUGCAAUGUGUUAUGUAACAAAAAGGUCAUGUGAACACUCACAAAGGAACACAGAGAAAGCGGCAAGUGGGAGAAGCCCAAAUAACAUCCUGCUUUAGAUCCUCCCAGGCCCAUCCCAGGAACCAUUAUCCCAUGAAAGGAGAUAAGUUCCUCCACAAGCCCAGAGGAACAAGGAGCGCAAAGGCAGAGGCUCAUCUGCCCAACUACCAAAGUCUAUGAAAUUUCAGAAUUUAUUUUGUGAAUGAGUCUACGAUCUUCCAAGUUAGGCCUAUCCAGUCACAACCUGAAGUUUUAAAAGAAGAGCAUUAAUUUUACUAUUACUGUGGCUUGGUAGGUUUAUACUCCCACCAUUCCUGAGACAUGGAAUAGAAGAAUUAAUCUGGCACUUGAAUAUAUCUCUCCUUAUGCAAAUUUUGUGCAAGACAAAAAAGAAUAAUAUACACCUUAGUUUUAGCACUUAGUUUUAUUGUUGCAUCUUUGCAUUCAUCUGCUCUUUCAACUAGUUAACAAAGUCUAAUACGAAAUUCUAAGAGAUUUAAUUUAAUUAUCUAAAAGCUGUGUAUCUUAUCCAAACUAUCUGUCACUGUCUAAUCAGUGGAGGAACAGAAGUUCCAUUAGACAAGGAGAUUCAUAUUAUUUAUCUAUGUAUGAGAAAAGCCCCCGUAAAAUGCAAAAAUGCUUUGUUAGUGUGAAAGUUACAUCAUGUUAGAAAUGCAGUUUCUAACAUAGCAUAAAAUGUUUUAUUCAGUCGUGUGAAUGUAAAUUUUAGUGUCAUUUGAGAUGUCUCGAGGUAUGCAAAACAUUUAUAUAUGAAUGGCAGAUGACUGGGUCUUACAGGAGAUUGUGGUCUUCAGGUGAUGGCUGGAAAUCAAGUAAGAUAUCCUACGGCACCUUAAAUUGCACUGCCUGUGUUCAGAUGCAUGGUUUGAGACAAACUUACAACAAAAUAAAUGAGGAUAGCAACAAAGAUGGAUUCUUUUUAACUAGGCAGUUUGGACUACUAACUGUUAAAACACUAAUUGGUCUAACAAUAAAUUCUUGACUUUAAA